UUUGAUACCACCCUGAACGCGCCCAAUCUCAUCUGAUCUCGGAAGCUAAGCAGGGUCAGUCCUGGUUAGUACUAGGAUGGGUGACCUACUCUAAUUCUUAUGAUUUCUUCAGUU
Molecule: ribosomal RNA, 114 nt
Organism: Ursus americanus (American black bear)
Lineage: Eukaryota; Metazoa; Chordata; Mammalia; Carnivora; Ursidae
Source: Ensembl